Molecule: long non-coding RNA, 285 nt
Organism: Engraulis encrasicolus (European anchovy)
Lineage: Eukaryota; Metazoa; Chordata; Actinopteri; Clupeiformes; Engraulidae
Exons: 3
Source: RefSeq, a predicted model, not a curated record
AAACCAUUAGUUGAUUUCACAAAGAUAACAAACGUCAACAUUACGGACUUAACGGCGGAUGAUGAUCUAUUUUGGUUGUGUGUAGGCAAGAGGGCGAAGAGACACGGCAGAUGCAGUCCAGACAUGUUGGGGGAGCUUGGAUACAACACAAGAGUGGAACUUGAGGGGAGGAUGACCUGAUGACCCGAGUUUCCAAUAACAUGCCAUAAAUAAUGAGCUGCGCCGGCGACAGCCAGAUCUUCCACAUAUCAUGGACAGGAUGAAGCGUACUCAAAGGCUGAAUGG